GGAUUAGAUACCCUGGUAGUCCACGCCGUAAACGAUGAGCACUAGCCAUUGCAGGUUUAACCCCCGCAGUGGCACAGCUAACGCAUUAAGUGCUCCGCCUGGGGGGUACGGUCGCAAGACUAAAACUCAAAGGAAUUGACGGGGGCCCGCACAAGCGGUGGAUUAUGUGGUUUAAUUCGAAGCAACGCGCAGAACCUUACCUGGGCUUGAAAUCCUACGAAUCCUCUAGAGAUAGAGGAGUGCCCUUCGGGGAAUGUAGUGACAGGCGCUGCAUGGCUGUCGUCAGCUCGUGUCG
This 295-nucleotide ribosomal RNA is filed under the name uncultured bacterium. Its description in RNAcentral is "partial 16S ribosomal RNA". It matches the Rfam family "Bacterial small subunit ribosomal RNA", at positions 775 to 1067 of the family's 1533-position model. The record is from RNAcentral.